RNAcentral lists this ribosomal RNA (253 nucleotides) under uncultured bacterium. RNAcentral's name for it is "partial 16S ribosomal RNA". It matches the Rfam family "Bacterial small subunit ribosomal RNA", at positions 524 to 776 of the family's 1533-position model. The record is from RNAcentral.
UACAGAGGGUGCGAGCGUUAAUCGGAAUUACUGGGCGUAAAGCGCGCGUAGGCGGCUUUACAAGUCGAGUGUGAAAUCCCCAGGCUUAACCUGGGAACUGCAUUCGAGACUGCAUGGCUAGAGUAUGGGAGAGGGAAGUGGAAUUUCAGGUGUAGCGGUGAAAUGCGUAGAUAUCUGAAGGAACAUCAGUGGCGAAAGCGACUUCCUGGACCAAUACUGACGCUCAUGUGCGAAAGCGUGGGGAGCAAACAGG